RNA transcript from Panicum hallii, 1475 nucleotides. RefSeq lists it as uncharacterized. The transcript is spliced from 7 exons. NCBI's taxonomy places the organism in Eukaryota, Viridiplantae, Streptophyta, Magnoliopsida, Poales, Poaceae. The record is from RefSeq and is a predicted model, not a curated record.
ACUUGGGCGACAAGGACUGGGAUUUCGCCAUGGAGGAUUCCAGCGGCAGCUCGCCGUCGCUGGCCAUCCUACGGAAUAGGUACUGGAUUCUCCGCCACGGCCGCAGCGUCCCCAACGAGAGCGGCCUAAUAGUCUCAUCUCUGGUAUGCAUCCUCCAUCCCAGCAGGGCAGAGCCGUGUUCGUUCCUCAAAUUCCCCGCUCCAAAAGUUACCAGUUCCAGCCCAAAGUUUCAACUGUUGCCAUCUUGGGCUGCUGCCGCCAGGAGAACGGCACGAAGCCGGAGUUCGGGCUGGCCCCGCAGGGAUUCGAGCAGGCGCGCGCUGCCGGCGAGCUGCUCCAGAAGGAGCUUGAAGAGAUGGGUGUGCCGGUGGAUUCAGUCAAGAUCCGUUACUCGCCCUUCUCACGAACCACCGAGACGGCCAGAGUGGUUGCCGGUGUGCUCGGCAUCCCCUUUGAAGGUCCUAGCUGCGCAGUGAGUUUGGGUUAUCCUGCGGUGAUGGGACUCCGUGAGCGCUACUUUGGGCCAUCAUACGAAUUACAUUCACAUGAUAAGGAAAUUUCCCAGCAACUUCCCCUUUCUCGGAGACAUAGAAAUCCUGCUGUGUGGGUCUUCAUUACCUCAUCCUUUCAGUUUUACCAGCUGCUGCCACAGAACAAGGCUUGGCAGUGGAGGCUUGAGUUGUGUUGUUCAGGAGCUUGGUUGCGCAGCUGCAAAACUGACUUUGUAUUAGGCUGACAGAGCAAUGGCUCAGAGAGCAUAACUAUUGGCUCAUAUUUGGAGACCUCUUGUUCUACCUCAAUAGUACCCCUAUUGGAUCCACCGAUGGUUUUACUAUAAUUAACAGUAGUAUGCAGAGGUAUGGGCAGUAGAUGAAGCACAUCCCCAUAUGGCUCCAGAAGGUGGCGAGAGUGUCGCAGAUGUUGCUAAUAGACUAUCGGCUGUGCUGUCUUCUACAGAGACAGAUUUUCAUAGGAAACAGGUAGGAGGAACCCUUCAAAUCCUCAAAAAUAAGUGACGGGGAGCAACUAUGAUUUUACUUGUGCCAGCUCAGGCUCUGGCUUCUGGCAGGAAUCAAGAAGAUACAUGAAUGUGAAUAGUUACAGGGCUUAUGGAUUGUGAAGGGACAUCCUCCAAGCUAGCAUUUAUUGAGGAUUUAUUUCUUAUUUAGGAGAGACAUUCAUAUAAUCAUGUACUAGUCUAUGCAAGUAUGUAAAUACUAAAUAGAUAGAAAAAUCUUAUGGGACCACUGACAAGGUUUAGGUUUCUAGAGUUGCCUAUGCAAUUGAUGUCUAGAGUGGAAAGGUUGCUAACUGCAGUUAAUUUAGGAGAUUGAUGUAGGACAGUUGGCUAAAUGUCACUAUAUCAAACACUGGCCAGUGGCCACAUUGUUCCACCUUUCUUUUCUCCAAAUUAUCAACAUAUUCUCAACUCAUGCUUGGAUCUGGCAUACUGAAGCUGGCUUGUGUGUUCGUUC